Molecule: ribosomal RNA, 406 nt
Filed under: uncultured bacterium
Lineage: Bacteria
Description: partial 16S ribosomal RNA
Rfam family: Bacterial small subunit ribosomal RNA
Source: RNAcentral
AUUGAACGCUGGCGGCAGGCCUAACACAUGCAAGUCGAACGAGUGGCGGACGGGUGAGAAAUGUCUGGGAAACUGCCUGAUGGAGGGGGAUAACUACUGGAAACGGUAGCUAAUACCGCAUACCAUCGGAUGAGCCCCGAUGGGAUUGGCUAGUAGGUGGGGUAAAGGCUGACCUAGCAGACGAUCCCUAGCUGGUCUGAGCGGAUGACCAGCCACACUGGAACUGAGACACGGUCCAGACGCCUACGGGAGGCAGCAGUGGGGAAUAUUGCACAAUGGGCGAAAGCCUGAGGCAGCCAUGCCGCGUGUAUGAAGAAGGCCUUCGGGUUGUAAAGUACUUUCAGCGGGGAGGCGUUACCCGCAGAAGAAGCACCGGCUAACUCCGUGCCAGCAGCCGCGGUAAUUC